This 3804-nucleotide long non-coding RNA is filed under the name Sus scrofa (pig). RNAcentral describes it as "lncRNA (ENSSSCG00000058568.1)". Lineage: Eukaryota; Metazoa; Chordata; Mammalia; Artiodactyla; Suidae. The record is from RNAcentral.
GGGAGCCCUUUACUUCUCUAAUGAUAGAUAAGAAUGUGAGGUCCUUUACCAUACAGACUCUGUGAAAAAGUCCCUGUGUUCUUUAACCCACAGUAGCUACUGCCUUGCCAGGACUUUUUUGCCUCUUGCUGGCAAGUCUAAGAUUAAAUCCAGGGAUGGACUGACUGGCUUGCAGCCAGUGUCUAGCAACUCACCCACCUUCCUUCGCCCUUCCCUGUUCACUUGCCUUGGGCUGAACUAUUAAACAUGAUGGCACUCAUUUUCCCUGGCUUGAUGCCUGGAGCCCCUUCAGGAAGAGAAAUUAUCUCUUCGUCCAGUUGUUCCCUUGCUCUUAGCUCAGGGACUUUGAAAGCUGGCAUCAGGAGCCUUUUCGUGACUGCCAGCUAAUCAAAAAAGACAGAGCUGGGGGAGGAGGGUCGGCUCACCAUCCUGCUCCUCCUCUGUGUCCCACUUUUCAUUGAAUCUGUCAGGUAUUGAAAACGCUGUGGAAGUACACUGCCUGACAAAGGGACUAGAUGGCCAGGAAGUUAAUUUGGGAAUGUUCAGUUAUUUGUUGAAUCAAAUGAGCAGAGGAACAUCAAAAGCCCCAAGCAUAUGAAAGCACCUAUGAAUCAGAGUAAGGAAGUUAAAUUGCUUCUAUUUCUCCAAAGAAGAAGAAUGAUCAAGGCCCUAAAACUCCGUCUUGGGUAGUGCAGAGCCAAGAACUGAACCAGUACGGCACAGAGAAAAUUAGACAGAGGAAGCACAGCACAAUAAGACACAGAUUGUUGGUCUACGGUUUGCAGAAAGAAGAUAAGAGGAGGAGAAGACCAGAAUGAAUUGUGAGAGACAACCAAGAAUGGAAUUAGUAUUGACCAACUUUCCAGGGAAAAGAGCUGCUGCAGCACUGACAUUUACAAAUGAGGAGACGGAUGAUGAUCAAAGGGGCUUAGAUACUAAAUUAAAACAUGUGACUAUAGGCAGGAAAGCAUAAGAACUUAAAAACAUCUAUUGAUAAAGGGUGCAAAAGCAACUACCUGGAAGCUUGUGGCACUAAAUGAUCAACAUGACAUAGAUCCAAGGAAGCUGAAUGAAGAAAACAAACUUUCAUGGUCAAAUUGAGAAAAUACCCUAGUUUUUAAAUUAGCCUGUCUAUGGGCAAUUUUAGCAAAACAGGGCAGCAAAAACACAUGCCCUACAUGCCUAAGUGUGAUUCAUAAGGCCACACUUUAAAAUGACAAGGAAAAACUCAACAUCUAGGAGAUGACCAAGGCGAGCUAAGUUCUAAAUGUACCAUCUUUGUAGCAGAAUUAUAAAGUUUCUUCUUAAAAUAGUGAGUCUUUGAGAAGGCACAGCUGACUUACAUAUGAAAUUGCAUGGCUUAGUCAUCGAAUUAAUAUAUUUUUUCCUGGCCAUGUCUAGACAUUGAAAAGUAGGCUGUGGGUUGAGUGCAAGCACAUGAUAAGGGUGAGUGUCCAUCUUGUGGCAGGAAGUGGUUGUCAAAUUGAUGAAUUCCAAGUCUGUUCUUAGUAAUUUCAUUAAUAAUCUGGACAAAAAAGACUAUGACUUUUGGAUGGACCUGAAUUUUUAGUACAAGUGUGGGCUCUGGAUAACCUUGGGGAAGUUAGAUAAUGUCACUGAACUGCUUUUGAAAUUGUAAAAUAAUAACAGUAGCUAUCUUGUAAUACCUGUCUCCAAGGGAUGUUAAAACAUAAUAGGAUAACAUAAGCAAAGUGCCUGAUGCAGUAGACACUCAAUGCCUACAGCUUCCUCUUCUACUCUUACCUGUUCUUGUAAGUAUAGCCUGUCCUUGCUGGGUGUGAGGCUUUGUGUGUAUUCUCUUCUCUUUUAUACAAGUCAUCAUGUCUUGGUUUAUCAUCAAGCCCUCUUUUUUCUCUGCUCCCCUUGCUCACGGUCCUUACAAUAUUAAUGCAGUUUGCUGCUCCUGGACAUGUAUUCCUGCAUAUUCUUCAGUUAGUUUGACGCUAUAAUUAAGCACCUGUGAAGUGCGUUAGGAAUUUAAAUUCUAUCUUCAAGGGGGUGGUUUGCACCCUUGGCUGUAUAGUAGAAUCACCUGAGGAGCUUUAAAAAAUACUGAUGCCCAGACUGCACUCCAGACCCAUUCAUUUAGAUUCCAGGGUGCUGGACCCAGAAACCAGUUUUUUUUUAAACUCCCCAGGUGAUACUAAUGUGUAGUUAAGGUUGAGAAUCCUUGUUCUAAUGUUUUGACAAGGUACUUCAUCUUGAUACCAUCUGGAUACAAACUGUACAUUGUCUGAGCUCAUUUAGAUUUGCAAUAAAUAGAAAAAUUUAUUUAUUUCUCUUUAAUUUUAAUGAAAUUUUUCUCUUCUGAUAUCAAUACUGUGCCCUGGGGAGUCUUAUUUGAAAUUAAGUCAGUAAAUUUCAACAAUAAUUAUUGGUUUUUUUGGUAAGUUUGUUUUAUAUAGAAGGUCCCAUUCAGUGCUAAGUGAUGUGUGUAGAUGUUGAGUGAACGUAUUAAUAAAUGAAGGAGUGCAAACUUAAGUCACCAAAUUAAUUGCAGCAACAAUAAGGACUUGACAGGAUUUAAAAUCCCAAAGACUCUGAGGCUUUUAAGAGUUGAACCUGGCCCCUAGAGUGCAGUUUUGAUAGCAGAAGGGAGAACUUGGUUUAUAUGUUCUGCUUCUGAAUCUCUCUGAAAAUAGACCAUUCAGCUCAUCUGUAUUUUUCUGCAGGGAGUAUCACUCAAAACUUAAACUCUGUCAAAGAAAAAUUGCACCUGCAGAGUCAAAUAGGCAAGGUAGAUUUUAUUCAAGACUAUUGCAGUAGGGGAGAAAGAUUGACCUCAACUUGUCUGAAACAAAGGGGGGGAGGAUUUUUCUAUUGUGCAUUUUUUUUCUAAGCUAUAGUUGAUUUACAAUGUUUCAGUUCCUGCUAAAGUGACUCAGUCACACACACACACACACACACACAUGCUUUUUUUAUAUUAUUUUCCAUCACAGUUAAUCCUAGGAGAUUGGAUAUAGUUCUUUAUGUAUAGAACCUGUUGUUUAUCCACUUUAAAUGUAAUAGUUUGUGUCUACCAACCCCAAAGUCCCCAUCCAUUCCACUCUUCCCUUCCUCCCCCUGCCCUUGGCAACCACAUGUCUCUUCUCUGUGUCUGUGAGUCUCUUUCUGUUUGUGGAUAGGUUCAUUUGUACAAUAUUUUAGAUUCCACAUAUAAGUGAUAUCAUAUGGUAUUUGUCUUUCUCUUUCUAACUUCACUUAGUAUGAGAAUCCCUAGUUGCAUGUAUGUUGCUGCGAAUGAAAUGAUUUCAUUCUUUUUUAUGGAUGAGUAGUAUUCCACUGUGUAUGUAUACGACAUCUUCUUAAUCCAUUUAUCUGUUGAUAGUCAUUUAGGUUGUUUCCAUGUCUUGGCUAUUGUGAAUAAUGUUGCUGUGGACACAGGGGUGCACGUAUCUUUCUGAAUUACAGUUUUGUUCAAAUAUAUACACAGGAGUGGGAUUGUUGGAUCAUAUGGUGGUUUCUAUUUUUAAUUUUCCAAGGAACCUCCAUACUCUUGUCCAUAGUGGUUGUGCCAAUUUAUAGUCUCACUAACAGUGUAAGAAGUUUCCCUUUUCUAAAAGUGGGAGAAUUUUUAAGCACUGGUGUGAACUCUACCCAAUAUUCUGUGAUAAUCUAUAUGGGAAAUAAUUUGCAAUGAGAUCCUGCUGUGUAGCACUGGGAACUAUGUCUGGUCACUUAUGAUGGAACAUGAUAGUGUGAGAAAAAAGAAUGUAUACAUGUAUGUGUAACUGGUCAUCAUGUUGUACAGUAGAAAAUUGACAGAACACUGUAAACCAGAUA